CUUUUCAAAUCGACACGUAACUGUCCAAUGGCAUAUAAAGUAUAUGAAAUAAAGUACCUCUCAUAGACCCUUUUAGUACCGACGGCAUGAUGACGUCACGGCGCCAGCUGGAGGCGGCCAAUACAAACCAGCACAGGGACAAAAUUCAAACCUGCACAGAGUCGAUUCACAAGGAACACGAACAUCAUCUUGUGAUGGAGUACAGGAUCUCAUUUUAAAUGUUAUCUCAUACCUGCUGCCAGAAGAACAAAAACCAUGUGCUUAAACACAAGGAAACAAGCGGACUGGACUGAAACGAUCAUCAAAAGAGCACAAUUCAUAUCAGCUGUCAUAAGUGCAAUUGUACAAACAGAAAGGAAACAGUGAACAGACCCAUGUUAUGUGUCAGGUCUGUGUACAAGUAUGUGCAUGUGCUAACGUUUGCCAUGUUAGUAGGCAACCUGAAGAGCAGCUCGUGAUGUACGUAGUGAGGUACUUUUCUCCUGCACCUAAGCCCCGCCCACAAAACCACCUCAAGGUUUAAUAAGUGAAAAAGGGAAUAUUGAGCAAACAUCGCAUUCAGAUUUAUUCUUUUUAUUGGAAAUUGUAAAUGAAGUUGUAUUAUGUUCUCUAUUUCCACAACAAUUUGGAUGCCUCCCUUCCCAUGUCAAGUCAUUAUGUAACCUCUUAGCUUCCAUUAAAUAUCAUUUCCAAUGUUUGGAUAUA
Molecule: long non-coding RNA, 705 nt
Organism: Silurus meridionalis
Lineage: Eukaryota; Metazoa; Chordata; Actinopteri; Siluriformes; Siluridae
Exons: 2
Source: RefSeq, a predicted model, not a curated record